RNAcentral lists this long non-coding RNA (1185 nucleotides) under Heterocephalus glaber (naked mole-rat). RNAcentral describes it as "lncRNA (ENSHGLG00100045895.1)". Lineage: Eukaryota; Metazoa; Chordata; Mammalia; Rodentia; Bathyergidae. The record is from RNAcentral.
GAGGAUACGCCUAUCACUGUUUAAAUGAUAAUCAUAGUUAUUUGUUUUUAAAUUUUGAUUUAUCUAAGGUUUCUCUUUUUGUAUAGUUCAUGUUUGUAGUACAUAAUGUUUGCAUUCCUUGUGAAGAAUUUCUAAGAUUUCUUAAUCAAAUCUAAUCAUUUUCUUUAUGAUUUCUUUUAUUAUAAUUUUGCUUUUUCAGAGAGUAGAUACUAAUUCAUCUGUAUCAUCCCCUAAGCAUUAAUUCCAUGCUUAUCUAUUAGUAAUUGUUUUUUGACAGACCAAAGCAUGUCCUCCUCAUCUCUUCUUUUGGCAGAUCUGGGUUUUAUUCUUCCAUUUCCCAGAUUAUUUAAUCAAAUAUUCUUGGAAAAACAGGAGGGAGGGGAAGGAGGAAAGGAAAAAAGAAAGGAGGGAGGAAGAAGGGCAAGAUGAGAAGAAAGGUAGGAGUCUGACUAAAAGCAAAUUGCAGACUAGAAUAGAGACUCCCCAGGAAAAUAUUAAGUUUAAACCUUGGAGAACAAAGGUUAGUUUUCCUAACCUGCUUUUAUGGGUCAUUUGGAGCUGAAAUAGUUGCUGUUGCCAAGAAGUUCAAAGCCAAGUUUGAAAUUUGAUCACAGCAAUGUGGUCAACCUUUAUUGAUGGAUAUUUGUUAUCUUUGGUCUUGAUUUUCCCUUUAUAUUAUGUUUUCCUGGCUCAUUAUAUGUGUCUUUUGUUGCAAACUAUCUCAAAUCCUAUAUGGGAAGAGCUAAAGUGGAUUCAAAGUUCUGAAGAAUGAAUGACUUCUAAAGAAUAAGUCUUCCUUGGGGAGUGAAAUAGUUUGCAGUUUGUUGUAGUCCCACUAAACCUCCUUUGUUGAUCUUGAAAUAUUUCAUCAUACAGAAGUGCAUGUAGAAUAGUAUCUCAAAUAAAUACCCUGCAAGCACCACCAAGCAUAACACAUCUUAAUAUUUUCCACAUUUGUUUCAGAUUUUAAAAAUAACACAUUGGAAAUAGAGAUGGAGCCUCUGUGUACCCUCUUCCCCUCCCAAAAGAUGAUUCCAAGCUUCAGCCCACCAGCUAGCUCCCUGCAUCACAGCCUAAGAUGUACACAACUCCAAGCCAUGCCUCGCCACCAAGGAUCUUCUUUGGCCACACUCAGUCCCUGCUCCGUAGAGAAGGGAAGUCGCACAGCUGCAGGAUAUAGGAGGC